Pogona vitticeps (central bearded dragon) is the source of this 917-nucleotide non-coding RNA. Lineage: Eukaryota; Metazoa; Chordata; Lepidosauria; Squamata; Agamidae. The record is from RefSeq and is a predicted model, not a curated record.
AGUGAUGCCCCCUCAUCUUUUCUUAUGAGGUUGCUCAUGAUGUCAUAGAUGGACUUGGUCUCAAAAACAAAAGGACAGAAAACCCUGUGGAGGAGUGAUUGUUUUGGGUACCUGAAGGAGUCUGGAUAGGAAAAAGUAUCUGUACUCCACUUUAUAUAUUCUGGCAGAAGGUGGAACAAACUGGACUUUAUAGACAACCCGUUAUUAGAACAGGUAAAUCCUCGACUGCUGACAGAGUUAGAUUGUCACACCCAGCUUUUCUCCUCUCCUGUAAUUAGCUUGCUUGGUUUGGUGAUUGGCCUUGGAGACGGAUCUUCAUUUAGAAGUCUGAUUUUUUUCCCCAGGCACAAAUGUCUGCCUGAAUCAUAUCUGCGGAACACAAACAUGCCUUCAGCUCUAAAGAUGAGUCAUUGCCACAUCCAGUUGGGGGUGUAAAGAAACUUUUCCAAGCCAACGCCCCAAGUUCAGUUCAUGGAAAGAAAUAAGCCAAGCAAAAACCGGCGCAUGGUUAUGCUCCAGUUUCCCCAGUUCCAGACGUGGCGAGCUUUCCCCGGCCUCCUCCUGUCGUCUUCUUCCACGUACCUUCCUCUCCGAGGACAUCUUUGUGAAUAAUUUAGGCUCCGGCUGGUUCUGACAGUCCAGCGUCUUCUCCCUGGACGAGGCCUGUCAUCUCCCAUCCUGUCUUCGAACCUCUUCGCUCGGGAAGAUGUCAGAGACCUGAGGCGACCUUUCCCUCUUCGGAAAGAGGAGGGGGCCCUGUGCACUUUGCCGGAGACAGGCUGUACUUACUGGAAGUCCACAGCCCCAAAAUGCAUUUGCAGCCGCCAUGAAACCUCUCCUACAAUAACUGUUACUCUACUAACAACUGCCUCCUUAGGCCGAUGGAAAGUAAAUUUUAAUGGGAAUGGUUGCGAAAA